Molecule: long non-coding RNA, 1458 nt
Filed under: Brassica rapa (field mustard)
Lineage: Eukaryota; Viridiplantae; Streptophyta; Magnoliopsida; Brassicales; Brassicaceae
Description: long non-coding RNA (BRAP_LNC004177)
Source: RNAcentral
CUCUCUAACCUAAAAAACCUCUCGCCUCUCUCUUACAUAUCUAGGGUUUUCAACCGCCUCCACUGAUUCCGGCGGUCGCCGCCGCUCUUCUCAGGCGACCGCCGGGUCUUGCUCUUCUAGUUUCUCUUCUGUUGUAGUCUCUUCCCCCGUUCCCUUCUGCGGUUUCCCGGUGGUCGUCUUCGAUUUAUCUGGUUCAGAUCCGGUAGUUCAGAGGCUUCUGAGUCAUGGUUUGAGAGGUUUCAGCGCUUGAGGACGGCGUGAUGUGCAUCUCCGACUCUGUCCUCUUUGAAUCUGAGCUUUCCUGGCCGGAAAUUUUCUCUGUCGAAGUCGCUAUCCGGUUUCGAGUGGUGGAGCGUGGAGGUUGUGGAGAGCCCGAGCCUGCUUUGUUGUGCUCCUCCGUCUUGGUGGCGCAGCGGUGGUGUACCGGACUCGGGCUAGGGUGGGCUUUGUGAUGUCGCGGAUCUGAAGUUCCCUCCUCCCUCUUCUGCUAGUGGUCUCUAGUGGGUGCGUGUGAGCUCUCUGGGGGUCGGUCUUCCCUCUACCCGUGAGCUUGUGUGGCAACGCGCGUUGGUCGUGGUGGCGCGUGGUGGUAGCGCGUGCAGAGCUGAGCUUCUAGUUUCUCUACUCUUCACAGAGUGGAAGCUCCGGUGUUUCUGGUUUGUCUCUUCACUACGUCCUGGUGCCUCUCGUUCUAUUCCUCUCCAAUAAGGUAUGCGUUGUUGAUCUUGGCUCAAAUGGUGGUUCGAGCCUUGCUAUUUUGUCCGUGCAGCAGUUGGACUCUCGAAUGGCUCCUUCUCUUGCGGUGUGGUUUUCGGAGAGUUAGCCUCUUGCGGUCCGCUCUCUCUAUAUGUGAUUGAGGUUCAAUGGGUGUAUACGGUCACGGAGGGUGGGGCUAGAGACGGCAAUCUUCUUGUCUCCCUUUCGAACGACGGCAUCGUCGCUGGGGGUUCUCUCUCGUGCCGUCGGAGAUCAUUGCUGUCGAGUGUUUUGAGUUGGUUCGUGGUUGGAUUCUCUGUCCGGUUCAGGUUUGGGAAUGGCGGUUGGAAGCUGUAGGAGCCGUUGCAACAAGGUUUGAGGGCGCCUUUCUCUCGGUAGCUCGCGGUGCCCGAUUCCCUUCCCCGAUCGCUUCCGGUUCUUUGGUCUGACUCUGUUUCGUUGCUUGCUGGGUAUUGUGCCGGUUAGGCCAUUGUUAGGAGUUGAGGUCUUUAUCGUUGUAGGUUGUGUUUAGUUUAUUUACUGCAUCCCGCUACUAGUGUCUAUGUAAUUUCUGUAAAAAAUUGAAAACUUGAUAUAAUAUUUUAACAUUUUACCAAAAAAAAAAAAAAAAAAUGUUAACAGAAGAUGCUUUUUUCCGAACAACUUAAUUUUAUUUUUCAGAAUAUAUGUUAUAAAUUAAAUGAAAUAUAUAACACGACGUACCAAAUCACUUAUUUUUGUAGUUUUGGAAAUGUGUCCAUG